Molecule: ribosomal RNA, 366 nt
Filed under: Triticum aestivum (bread wheat)
Lineage: Eukaryota; Viridiplantae; Streptophyta; Magnoliopsida; Poales; Poaceae
Description: partial small subunit ribosomal RNA
Source: RNAcentral
AUGCCGCUCAAUAGGGUUUCGGAUCUCAUUGAUGAGUAUUCAGGAAAUUGGAAUGAACAGAUUGUCCGUCAAAAUUUCUUGCACCCGGAUGCGGUAGCCAUUCUUAAUAUACCACUGAAUCCGGCGGGUGGCGAAGAUACUCUAGCCUGGUCUUUGGAUAAGUCGGGCAUCUACACUGUAAAAUCAGCGUAUCGUUCUCUUGUGACUCGCAAUGAGCUUGGCUCUCGAGAGGAAGGGGCGACUACAGAAUCAUCAUCAGCUAAUAAACAGUUGUGGACUGCUCUUUGGCGACUACGAGUCGUCCCCAAAGUACGGGUAUUCGGUGGAGAGUUCUCCGAGGGAUUUUACCUGACUCUACUACUUUGA